UCUUCUUUCCACCUCCCUCCCUUAUCCUCUUCCUCCCUUCACCCCGAUCCCCUCCACAUCUCUCUCUCUCUCUUUCUCCCAGCGAGAGAAAUCCCCCUCCAUGAGAUUUAGCACCGGCUGCUGCUACUUGGAGCCAGCCAUGGCCACUCACCGAACCCCCUCACCUCUCCCAUCCUUGUUGUUUUUGCUACAAAAAAGAGCGAAAGGAGUUCCCAUGGCGGCUGCGCCACGUCGACAGUGGGCUGCAUCGACGGGAUUCAACGGCAAUUGCAUCGAGCAGCUCCUGCGGUGCUACACCCAGCGUUUUUGCGGUGGUGAAGGGCGGAAACUAGCGACAAGGGCGGGGACCGGCAAGACCGGAGCGCCUGGUGCAGGCCAUGGCGGCAGCGCUGUGUUCCCACGAGAAUGGAGGAACCGAGAUCGAAAGCGGAGCGCGAGGAAGGAGGAACCGAGAUCGAAAGCGGAGCGCGAUGCACUUUUUUUUUCUAUUGCGAGACCCAGAUCGAACGGGUGAAAUAUGCUGAAUCGGACGCUCGCGCGUUGACCGGCUCAGCUGUUUGGCCGGUGCGCCAGCGCCUAUCAGCGCCCAAAAUGUAUUGGCUUCUCCUCCUUCGUUCGAUUAAUUUUAUAAGCUGACUAAUGGAAAUGAUUUUUUUGUAUCUGUAACUGAAAUAACAUUUAUUUGAUAAAGGGCAUAUUUCAUUAA
Triticum dicoccoides is the source of this 706-nucleotide long non-coding RNA. RefSeq lists it as uncharacterized. Lineage: Eukaryota; Viridiplantae; Streptophyta; Magnoliopsida; Poales; Poaceae. The record is from RefSeq and is a predicted model, not a curated record. The transcript is spliced from 2 exons.